AGAGUUUGAUCCUGGCUCAGGAUGAACGCUAGCGGCAGGCUUAAUACAUGCAAGUCGAGGGGCAGCACGGGUAGCAAUACCUGGUGGCGACCGGCAAACGGGUGCGGAACACGUACGCAACUUUCCCAAAACUGGUGAAUAGCCCUCCGAAAGGAGGAUUAAUACACCGUAACAUAAUGAAAUGGCAUCAUUUUAUUAUUAUAGCUUCGGCGGUUUUGGAUGGGCGUGCGCCUGAUUAGGUAGUUGGCGGGGUAACGGCCCACCAAGCCUGCGAUCAGUAACUGGUGUGAGAGCACGACCAGUCACACGGGCACUGAGACACGGGCCCGACUCCUACGGGAGGCAGCAGUAAGGAAUAUUGGUCAAUGGACGAAAGUCUGAACCAGCCAUGCCGCGUGAAGGAUGAAGGUCCUCUGGAUUGUAAACUUCUUUUAUCUGGGACGAAAAAAGGGAAUUCUUUCUCACUUGACGGUACCAGAGGAAUAAGCACCGGCUAACUCCGUGCCAGCCGCCGCGGUAAUUC
Molecule: ribosomal RNA, 523 nt
Filed under: uncultured bacterium
Lineage: Bacteria
Description: bacterial SSU rRNA
Rfam family: Bacterial small subunit ribosomal RNA
Source: RNAcentral